AAGUCUAGCCUGCCCACUGAUUGAUUUAAAGGGCCGCGGUAAUUUGACCGUGCGAAGGUAGCAUAGUCAGUAGUCUUUUAAUUGAAGGCUUGAAUGAAAGGUUGGACGAGGGAUGAGCUGUCUCCUUUAUGUAGUUUGAAUUUAACUUUUGAGUGAAAAGGCUCAAAUUAUUUAGUGGGACGAUAAGACCCUAUAAAACUUUAUAUAAGUUUAAUUUGGCUUACAAUUUGAGUGAAAAGUAGCUUUAUUAGGCUUAUAUUUCGUUGGGGAGAUGUAGAUAUAAUGUGUAACUGUCUAUUUAAUUUAAUAAUUAUAAUUAGUGUGUGAUCCUUCUUUGUGGAUUAAAAGUAUAAGUUACUUUAGGGAUAACAGCGUGAUUUUCUUUGAGAGUUCUUAUCGACAAGAGUAGUUGCGACCUCGAUGUUGAAUUAAAAUUUCAGUUAGGUGUAGCCGUCUAGCUGGUAGGUCUGUUCGACCUUUAAAAUUUUACAUGAU
Molecule: ribosomal RNA, 495 nt
Filed under: Macrobrachium nipponense
Lineage: Eukaryota; Metazoa; Arthropoda; Malacostraca; Decapoda; Palaemonidae
Description: partial 16S ribosomal RNA
Rfam family: Bacterial large subunit ribosomal RNA
Source: RNAcentral